This 663-nucleotide ribosomal RNA is filed under the name uncultured cyanobacterium. Its description in RNAcentral is "bacterial SSU rRNA". It matches the Rfam family "Bacterial small subunit ribosomal RNA", at positions 99 to 795 of the family's 1533-position model. The record is from RNAcentral. Lineage: Bacteria; Bacillati; Cyanobacteriota.
CGGACGGGUGAGUAACGCGUGAGAAUCUGCCUUCAGGUCGGGGACAACCACUGGAAACGGUGGCUAAUACCGGAUAUGCCGCAACGUGAAAGAUUUAUCGCCUGAAGAGGAGCUCGCGUCUGAUUAGCUAGUUGGCGGGGUAAAAGCUCACCAAGGCGACGAUCAGUAGCUGGUCUGAGAGGACGACCAGCCACACUGGGACUGAGACACGGCCCAGACUCCUACGGGAGGCAGCAGUGGGGAAUUUUCCGCAAUGGGCGAAAGCCUGACGGAGCCAGACCGCGUGGGGGACGAAGGCUCUUGGGUUGUAAACCCCUUUUCUCAGGGAAGAAAAAAAUGACGGUACCUGAGGAAUAAGCAUCGGCUAACUCCGUGCCAGCAGCCGCGGUAGGACGGAGGAUGCAAGCGUUAUCCGGAAUGAUUGGGCGUAGAGCGUCCGCAGGUGGCUCUUCAAGUCUGCUGUCAAAGAGCAAGGCUCAACCUUGUCAAGGCAGUGGAAACUGAAAGGCUAGAGUGUGGUAGGGGUAGAGGGAAUUCCCAGUGUAGCGGUGAAAUGCGUAGAGAUUAGGAAGAACACCGGUGGCGAAAGCGCUCUACUGGACCUGCACUGACACUGAGGGACGAAAGCUAGGAGAGCGAAUGGGAUUAGAUACCCCAGUAGUC